Molecule: long non-coding RNA, 589 nt
Organism: Phlebotomus papatasi
Lineage: Eukaryota; Metazoa; Arthropoda; Insecta; Diptera; Psychodidae
Exons: 2
Source: RefSeq, a predicted model, not a curated record
UAAAAUUUUCCAAAGAUAUUCCAAAGGAAGCUUUUGCGAUUUCAUCCGUGGAAUUUUUCGCUAGUUUUUCCUAUUCCGCUUUCUUUUGCUAUGGGGUAGGAUUGCAUAUGGUAAUACUAUUUCCUAUUGUCAAUUGAACUUCCUUUUCUUCGUGCUUUUCACACAAGCAAGAUGCAAAUCUUCGUGAAAACACGGGAAAAACAAUCACCCUCGAGGUGGAGCCUUCUGAUACCAUCGAAAAUGUUAAAGCUAAAAUUCAGGAUAAAGAGGGCAUCCCACCAGAUCAGCAACGUUUAAUGAUCACCAGAUCAGCAACGUUUUGGAGCUCUCUGACGUCGUUUGUCUUGCCUCUGCUGAGGAGUCAAUUUGAUCCUCUUGAUCAAAUCACAAGAAAUCACAAGGAGGUCCUGGGGAAAACUGCGGCGCGGGUGUUUUUAUGGCUGCCCAUGAGGAUCGUCAUUACUGUGGCAAAUGCAGUAUUACAUUUGUCUUCAAACAAGAUGAAAAGUGAGAUUAAAGACAAAGAGUGUGUUUGUAAAAUGCGCAAUAAAUGGCGUCUUUAAAAAACGAACUAUGGCUUUUUAGCGAA